This 212-nucleotide unclassified non-coding RNA is filed under the name uncultured Chloroflexota bacterium. Its description in RNAcentral is "uncultured Chloroflexi bacterium contains 16S-23S intergenic spacer region". It matches the Rfam family "Bacterial small subunit ribosomal RNA", at positions 978 to 1202 of the family's 1533-position model. The record is from RNAcentral. Lineage: Bacteria; Bacillati; Chloroflexota.
CAGGCUUGACAUGGCCGAAGUAGGACCGGGAAACCGGAACGACUCGUUGAGGCGAGAGCGGUCACAGAUGCUGCAUGGCUGUCGUCAGCUCGUGCCGUGAGGUGUUGGGUUAAGUCCCGCAACGAGCGCAACCCUCGUCGCCAGUUGCCUUUCUGGCGAGACCGCCGGGAUCAACCCGGAGGAAGGUGGGGAUGACGUUUCGGCAUUAGCCA